AGAAGGUUUUUCACUUCAGAACAAACACACGACUUUGAGAAAGUGGGAAUAAUGCAGAAGAUAAAAUUUAGAAUGAAGAAAUCUUUCAAUUACCAUUCAUGCCCACAACUCAAACACAUUGCAGGUUCGAAAGGGGAAAAGCACGUGGAGCAAUGUUGUAUUAUUGACAACUGAAGCAUUUGAGUUUGUGGCAUCAGUGCAAUUUUUGGUUCUUGAAUUGUUUUGUAUUGAGGAUGUCUCUCAUAGAUUGGAUCCAAUAAUUGUAACUCUUGUACUAAAAUUAGUUGUUUUCAAUAAAAUUUUAGUAUUUGAACGUAAAAGAACUUCAAAAAUCGAUUGUUAUCCAGUUCCAAAUAGUAAACAUGUUAA
RNA transcript from Vigna angularis (adzuki bean), 369 nucleotides. RefSeq lists it as uncharacterized. The transcript has 3 exons. The record is from RefSeq and is a predicted model, not a curated record. NCBI's taxonomy places the organism in Eukaryota, Viridiplantae, Streptophyta, Magnoliopsida, Fabales, Fabaceae.